CAAGACUUGUGUCUUACUAUGUAUAUCAUCAGCCAGGAUAGGAGAGUUAAUCAUGCAGCAACAACAGCCCCCCCCACUAAAACAAAAGAUCAGCUGUUGGGCUCUUAUACAUAUCCACGGGGAGAUAGAAAAGCUGACUACCCUUCUCUUUGAGAAUAAGUUUGAUGAUCAAGCUUGAGUUUAUUUCUUGGAGGACGAUCGACAACACAGAUUAGACAUGAGCCAUCCAGCUAAGAUCCACCAAGAUCAUCUCAGCCAACCUCAGCCUAACUGAAAGCAUGCAAUGGACCCAGGUGAGCCAAGCCCAGGCUAAUGACUCACAGCUAGGUAAAUGUUUGCUUUACGCUCAUGUUUAGGGUGUCAUAAUACAUGCAAAAGCUGGUGUAGUUAUUUAAGCUUAAAGGGGAUUUACUAAAAGGUUGUAUCCUUGAGAGACACAGACACCCUAUGCCUUUGCCCAAAUCACACCAUGGGAACUGUUUUGUCAAUUAUACUACUGUGCCUGCCAUGGGGGACAUUACUGCAGCUGUACCCUGACCUAGGCUCUAGCUGCUGCCACAGGGCAUAAUGGCCCCAGGAAAGUAGACUGACCUGUUAUUGCUGCCACCUAUCCGCAGAAGCAGGUCAUACGCUGGUGAGUCAUUCUAUGAAAAAGACACAAAGGCAAGGGCACUGAGCCAACAAAGCCAUAGACCCAGGCACAGGAGCCCCUCUCUGGUACUCAUCAUUCACCUGUUCAUAGAGUAUAAGGAGGUUCAGCACAGAAAUCCCAAGACAUGGGCAACAUCUUGUCAGCAACCCUCAUUGUGCCAUUUCAGUACUUUAAUACCAAUGGCAGCACCUCAGUGCAAGCUGGCUUUCUCUGCUAACUCAGUUUUAUUGCAAGAUGCAAACAUGAAUAUGGUCUGUCCCCUCAUAUUGCUACAAAAAAGACUGAGAGAAGAGACCAGAACUUCAUGUUUAACUUUAGGUUUAUUAUUAUGGAAUUUUAGUUUAAGAUGUGUUACAUUCGUUUAUGCUGUGGAAUAUUUGUUUAAUGAUGCAAAGAUGUCUUACAUUCUUUUAUGUUGCCUUUGUUUGUUUAACUCUGUAAAGUUGUGCUACUUUGCCUGCCUAAAACACCUGAUUGGUCUAAUAAAGAGCUGAAUAGCCAAUAGCUAGGUAGGAGAGAGAAAGAGGUGGAACUGGCAUAUGGAGAGAUUAAAUAGGAGGAGAAAUCUAGGCUGUAGAGGGAGUGAGGAGUGAGAAAAGGAGAAGGAGAGGAGGACUCCAGGGGCCAGUCACAAUGUAAGAAGGAAAGAAAGAUAUAUAGAAUAAAGAAAGCUAAAAAGCUCAGAGGCAAAUGUAGUUAAAGAGAAACAGGAUAAUUUAAGUUAGAAAAGCUGGCUAGUAAUAAGCCACAGUAAGACCAGCAAGUCUCUAUGCAUUUAUUUGGGAGCUGGGUGGUGGGCCCCCAAAAGAGAAAAAAAAAACUACAGCUAAUUAUUGUGACAGUUUCCAGGCACUUGGCAGCAGUGUCUUGCCUAUCAAAAUCUAUAAGUCACCAUAGUUUUCUUAACAAAAAAAAUUGUGCAAUGAAAAACAAAAUGAUUCAUUCCACUUUGGUAAGCUGGGUGGGCUGGGGCUUGGUCACCUUCUCUGGCUUGAAACAUUUAACAAGAGAAAACUAAGACAGUACUAAUGAGGAAGGCUUGAGGGAGACCUAGCAAAGCAAUCUGUACCAUUUGUGAUACUCUCUGACCCUCUGGACAUGCUCCAUUCACUCCCUAAUUAUGACAUAAAGUUAGGAAACUUGGGUGCUAGAAGGAUUGAUCAUUAGUGUACCCUGAAAACAGCAAUGUCCCAAGAGGCCCCAGGUAACCAGCCAACCAGUUUGCUUAGACUGGGUUUCGCAGGGAGUGGUACUUGCCAUGCUAACACUGGCAAAGCCCCAGGAAAACCAAAGCAAAGUGGUCAUCUGUACCAAGGCCAGUGAGUGCAUGAUCCAUGUUGUGUUCCUUGGAAGGAGCUAUGGAGAGCCAGAGAGUUCUGACUGAGGUAAUACUGCUAAUUCAUUCAUCUCUGUUCUUCAGCUGGCCAUGUGUUUGAAAUCCCUGUUUCAACCCUGUGACAUGGCCAUUGUUCUUCAUUGUUCUUCAGCUGGCCAUGUGAAGAAGAAAUCAUCAUUUACAAUGGUGACAAUGGGCACCAUAGUCUAUCAAGCCCAGGACUAGGUGCUUUGCAUGGACUCAUUUACUUAAUCUUUCCCACAGUCUAAGGAAAGAGGCAGUGCUAUUAUCCCCAUCUUAUAGCACAAACUGAGCCACAUAAGAGAUUUAGUAACUUGAAAAUGUCACAUCACUCUUAAGUCACAGACCUAUGCCAUUGUGCACAGUUAUGCUCCAUAAUGUGUGAUCCAAUUGUCAUGACAGGAUGCCUGGCCUAUGAAUGGAGACUGCCUUGCGAUUUCAACUCCAAAUCUGAAGCCAGAAGACUUCUCUCACCCAUCCACCAUCCCAGAUGAACUGCUGAUUGUGCUGGCAUCAAGCCUGAACUGAGAAAGGAACAGCUGUGCUAUGCCUUAGUGGCAUUUUUGUUUAAGAGGCUAAGUUUGGGGUUGUGAGACCAUGGGGAAUAUCAUGCUAUAAGUUAGUAGAACUUGCUGCUCAUCAUUUCAUGUCACUGUAUCUCAGUUAUCAGAGCCACAAGACUAGAAAGCUAGACCAAUGAUGAGUAGGCCUCCAGCUGGGAUUUGGAGGAUCAAAUAUUCACUCAGCAGUUUCAAGUCAACAGAAAUAACUGGUUAGAAUUUCCAAGGUAGUCUCCACACACAAAAGCAAAGCAAAUCAGCCUGAAGGAAGGAACUGUAGUUCCUUUUAGCCUCUUUCCCCCCUGGCAAUUUAUUUCUAGGCUAUUUUUUUUAUAUUAAAGCAAAACAAAAAACAGGAUCUGCUGAGGGAAAAGAAGCAAGGAAGACUGUCUAGUUUGUCAUUAUAAACACCCUCUACCACCAAGGAACUUACUUCCUAACCCUCCAGCCCACACUGGGAAAAGGGCUUGUGUUUGCAUUUUACCAUUACAGGGAAUGUUCAGUUUUUCCCCCCAUUAACAGUGACACUUUCACUUCCUUUGCUGGGACCAAAUGUCUCAUACUCACAGCGGUGGACGACACUGCCUCUUUCCAGAACAUCUCAAGACCUGGUUCCAGAGGAGCCUAGCUUGAGAGUUUCUUUUCGAGAUGACUGGGUUAUUCUACCCACAACUGUUGAGGAUGUGUGAAAUAGUCAUUCCCUUUGCCAUGAAAUCUCUGCAUAGAAUGUUCAAUGGCCUCACCUUCUCUCUGAUGACCUUACAUGACACGGCUGAAGAUGGGGCACAGGCUGUAAUAGUCGAGCUAUCUGUUCUGGGAGCAAGCUUCUCCCUGGUUCCUGAAGCCAAUAGCACAGCUACUGCUUCGGAUCCCUUCACGUCACCUCAUGCCCUCCUCACUCAGCCUCACAGACAAACACCAGGAGUUUUCUGGACCAAAGAUGUCUAUGGUCCCUCAGGGUGUUUGAAGUUCUAGAUGUCUCAUUUUCAAUAAGUUUAUCUCAAAAUGCUGAGGAAGGUGGCUAUUUGCCUACAACAAGCCACCUUCUUGAAGUACUUGAAGUUGCUGGGCUAAAUGAGAGACCCAGAAGAGCUGACCUUGUAUCUGCUGUCCUUCAAACAUAAACUAGCUGUGAUAUUAUA
Molecule: non-coding RNA, 3711 nt
Organism: Cricetulus griseus (Chinese hamster)
Lineage: Eukaryota; Metazoa; Chordata; Mammalia; Rodentia; Cricetidae
Source: RefSeq, a predicted model, not a curated record